This 697-nucleotide ribosomal RNA is filed under the name uncultured Acinetobacter sp. RNAcentral describes it as "bacterial SSU rRNA". It matches the Rfam family "Bacterial small subunit ribosomal RNA", at positions 32 to 722 of the family's 1533-position model. Lineage: Bacteria; Pseudomonadati; Pseudomonadota; Gammaproteobacteria; Moraxellales; Moraxellaceae. The record is from RNAcentral.
AAUGACCUGGCGGCAGGCUUACCCAUGCAUGUCGAGCGGAGCGAAGUGCUUGCACCCUUAGCUUAGCGGCGGACGGGUGAGUAAUGCUUAGGAAUCUGCCUAUUAGUGGGGGACAACGUUUCGAAAGGAACGCUAAUACCGCAUACGUCCUACGGGAGAAAGCAGGGGAUCUUCGGACCUUGUGCUAAUAGAUGAGCCUAAGUCGGAUUAGCUAGUUGGUGGGGUAAAGGCCUACCAAGGCGACGAUCUGUAGCGGGUCUGAGAGGAUGAUCCGCCACACUGGGACUGAGACACGGCCCAGACUCCUACGGGAGGCAGCAGUGGGGAAUAUUGGACAAUGGGCGAAAGCCUGAUCCAGCCAUGCCGCGUGUGUGAAGAAGGCCUUUUGGUUGUAAAGCACUUUAAGCGAGGAGGAGGCUUCUUUGGUUAAUACCCAAAGUAAGUGGACGUUACUCGCAGAAUAAGCACCGGCUAACUCUGUGCCAGCAGCCGCGGUAAUACUGAGGGUGCAAGCGUUAAUCGGAAUUACUGGGCGUAAAGCGUGCGUAGGCGGCUAAUUAAGUCAAAUGUGAAAUCCCCGAGCUUAACUUGGGAAUUGCAUUCGAUACUGGUUAGCUAGAGUAUGGGAGAGGAUGGUAGAAUUCCAGGUGUAGCGGUGAAAUGCGUAGAGAUCUGGAGGAAUACCGAUGGCGAAGGC